Bombus terrestris (buff-tailed bumblebee) is the source of this 1249-nucleotide long non-coding RNA. RefSeq lists it as uncharacterized. Lineage: Eukaryota; Metazoa; Arthropoda; Insecta; Hymenoptera; Apidae. The transcript has 4 exons. The record is from RefSeq and is a predicted model, not a curated record.
AGUGUCGGUAAAUUCAUUAAGUCGUGACCGUCGGUAACGUGAAUUCACAAGUUUCUUGCUACGAGUUGCGCACGUUUCGAAUAAGUUGCGCGUGUACGGCAGAUAUCUGUAAAAAGUAGAAAGAUAAUAGGUCGGAAUUCGUGAUUAUAAACCUCGAGCAGUACAGGAAUCACUAGCAGUGGAAGAAGGUGAAAGUUUCUCUUGAUUCCCACUCAUGGAGUUUCUCAGGAAAGUUAACUGAGCCAUGGGGCUUACAGUACCAUGCCUGGCAUAUAAAGAACCUUGUAACACUAAUGGGGAGAAAGAUGAACCAUACGUUGAAGCCAUUAUUGUGUCAAUGCCUAUUCUUUCAAGUUUCUCAACUAAACGGAUACUGGAAACAAUCUACUAUAAUAAUUUGUUACGCUUUUGUAUUUAAAUACCUAAUUUUUAAUUAGCAAAUGAUUGUUAACGAUCAAUUAAAGAUCUGAAUUUGAAUUAUAAAUAAGAGAACUAUCAUUUAUAUAUUGAUAAACAGAAUAUGCUUUCUAUCCUUAACAACAAAACAGUAAUAUUAUUUUUAAUAAUAUAAUCAAACUAAUAAUUCCUCAUUUUUAUGACAAUUGUUCAUCAAUAUGUGGAGGAAAAUUUAUUUAGUUAAAUAUCGAGAAAAUUUUAUUGACAUUCCACGCUUUUCAAUAUUCACAUAAAUAUGUGAAAUGAUGUCAUGAUUAAGAUCAAAGUUCUUCAACUAAUUAGAAUAUUUUACAAUGCUUAUCAAAAUUAGAAAAAGUCAAUUAAAUGUAUUUUAUAAAAUUAAUAUUUUUUAUGUAUUUUAUAGAAAUAUAUGUUGUGCGUAAAUGCGAGCUGCCAAUACAAUAUAUCCGAACUUCAUUAUCAAAUCAUAUUGAAUAUAACUGUAAUUUUGUCACAUUAAAACUCCAGAUGUUUUUGUUUCUAAAUGUUUAUACAUACCUGAGUUUCUCCACCGAAUGUUCUCUUUAACAAUUCAGCUCCACUGGAUAAUAACCCUAAAGAAAGUCUACCUUCUGGAGUUGGUGUACUAGAUCGACUAUCUGGAGGACUAGCAUCAGGACUAUUACAAGGUGUUGCAGUGGGCGUAUAAUUCCUCUCUCCACUCGGCGUUAAUGAAGAAGGGUUAGUGUAUUCUUCAUCUUCUUCAAGAUCGCUUAAAGUGAAAGUAACUAGGCCUAAAUCCUCCAGGCCUCGACCUCCUCUUGUUUUUACUCCUGGCCGUUCUUCUAAAAGA